This is a long non-coding RNA of Oryzias sinensis (Chinese medaka), 2683 nucleotides long. Lineage: Eukaryota; Metazoa; Chordata; Actinopteri; Beloniformes; Adrianichthyidae. The record is from Ensembl.
AUGCCCAUGGGUGGCCAGUGCUAUGAGCCUGGGAUUUUCUACCCCACCACCCCUCGACACAUCAUCAGGUUAGGAAUCAGCAGAAGACGAGAUCUGCUUCUUAGACCAGACUGGCUUGUGACUGGAGGACUGCUCUUAGGAGCUGUGGUCAUCCUCUGUGUAUGCAUUAUAGUGCUGGUAUGUUUACUAACUCCUGCAUCGACUUUGCAUCAUAAAAGCAUCCUUUUUAUCAGUGCUUAUUACUUGUGUGUGCAGAUCUUGUUUCGUGAAUAUGGGUGGCCGGAAAAAGAGUCAAUCAGUGUUCAGUAUCGAAUGUUGCAGCUUCUAUACCCAAUGGAUGACUACUCAUCAAAGGGAUCGAGGGUGAUUUCAUUCAGGAAAACUCACCGAAAACAGCCCGCUAGCAUGACACAUGACUCUAUUCAGCCAGCAUGCACAGGAGCCCUGGAGGAGUUCUGGGAUUAUGAACACCAGGUGGAUCUGGAGGCUUUUAACAGCAACACUUUUUACUGCCUCCUACUCAAGCAGAGCCUUUCUGUCACGUCACGUCUGGGGCAGCUCACCACUGAGGUCUGCAGCAAAUAAAACACCAUUCUUGAAGGGACUCUUGCAUUCUUACUUGUUUUUAUUUUCACUUUUACUAAAGACAAUCCACCGAGAAAGAGUUAGCUCACCUUAAAAGCCAAACAUACAAAAGUUAGGAACCCACAAAAAGAGAAUACAACUAAAAAAGAUGACUUCAGAAGACAAUUUACAAGAAGAAUAAAAAUUUGACAAAAUUAUACCAGAAAUGUAAAGGCAAAUUUUUAUGUUGUUUAAAAAAUUUUAAUAGCUUCAAGUUUACAUUUAGUCAUUUAUUUUCUUAGAAUUGCACAAAUACUACUACUACUACUACUACUACUAUGAAUAAUAAUAAUAAUAAUAAUAAAAAUAAUAAUAAAAUCAGACAAAUAAAUUAAAGCUAUGAUUAUUUAUUUUUUUGCUUGUCAAAAAUCCAUACAAAUCUUACGCAAAACCAACAACAGGAACUUCUUCAGACAAAAUAUUGAUUUAGCUCCAAAAGAGAGAGAAAACACAUCUAUUUGCCUGAUCCAUUCAUUGAAUUUUUCCUUUCACUCAUUUCCAUUAAAUCAGCUUGAGGUCAGAGUCCAGAUGCUCGUUCAUUCCUCAGCUCCAAUCGUUAUCCACUCUCUAUCUUCUCAUUUCCUAGCUUCAUCCUGUACUUCAUAUGUAUUUCACUGUGAAGUCUAUUGAAACAUAUUAAAUAUCACAAGUAAUUAAAUUUAUCUUUUUUUGCUUUGCAAUCCUUUGUGCAGCAUGUUCUUACUGUUUCCACUGUAAUGUUACCAGGCGCUGUAUAGGAAGGAGUCAGAUUGUUACUACAGCCCUGAGGGCUGUCUAAGCGGAGAGAAGUAAGAGGAGAUGGUCUCCAACAAACAUGCAUGUCUCAGGGGUGUUGGUUGGAUGACAUGUCAACUUAUUAGCUUGCUCCUGAGAGGAUUUUGUUUUCUUUUUUACUUGUCCUGUCCCACAGCUGAGCAGACAGAUGAGAGCUGAAAGCCUCUUGUGUUGGACAUAUUUUACUGUUACAAUAGAGGUUAUGAAUCGUUUGACACACUAGGAACAUAUUUAAAUAAACUCCUUUUGUAAUUUAGGCUAAACUUUAUUCAUCUUACUCAUAUCUGUAACAGUCUUUUGUUAGACCGGAUGGAAAAGAAAAGAAGGGAUGAAGAGAGAGGGAUGCCAGAGAGGGGGAUUGAACCCUAAAGCAGCAUGAUGCUCCUGAGAGGAUUUUUGCCCUAACAUACAUUUGUGUGUAUCCAGGUGAAGGAGCUCUAUCGAGGAGUUCUUGGGAAACUGUCGCUUCUCCACCCAUGCAUGAUGGCAGAGGAGAGGGUGGAGGAGCACUGUGAGAGGAUGAAGAAAGAGGUGGAGAGAGAAUUGGUGCGAAGGAAGUCUUUGGGCUCACAGCUGAGGACUCUGCUCGACAGUCAAUUACAGGUUUAUUUUGUGAAGGAUGCAAUCCAAAACAGCACAAAGGCAUCAGAAGAAAAACACAUUUUAAAACACAAGAAAUAAAAAUAUCUCUAUGUCUUGAUUUUUACAAAUGUCGUCUUUGACCCUGACAUUGUCACUAUAAUAUGUAAGAAUCCAACAAAACCACACAAACGGAUUGCUUUGACUGAUUUUCUUCAGGUUCUGAUGAGGGAGCUGCAGGCCAAGAGAAGGGCGUAUUGUGUAUUCAUGUCUCAGCUCAGAGAGUGCAGCAGACUUCUAUCUAAGAUUCACAACACCCACUCACCCACCUGUGAGCUGCACCAGAAAAUGUGAGAAUAUGGCUGUUUAUUUUUUUUACUGACAAAAAAGCACAAAACUAUUUCAACAAUUGCCAUUGUUCCAUUUUUUUUUCUUAACUCAUAUUCAGUUUGGUCCAAAAGCUCUCAGCCCUCAUAGAAGAAAUGGGAGAGCUGGUGUCAGCAGAGUGUCACCGCCAGGGGGCGUGGGGCUUGUUGGCUGAAGGCACUGGAGCCAGGUUGCUGUGUCCUAACUCUGGAGGUGUCCUUACCAAAGAUGACCUCUUUGGUGAGUUGAAAGCAGCUGCAAGAGAAAGAAGAAAUGUUUGCACAUGAUCCUUGCACCACAGCACCAUCUACUGUUAAACAAGUAUUCUGCAAUGCCUAGG